AAACCUCUAAAUUGGUAAUUGAAUUACCUCCCUGUAGCUUUAUAGUUUGUGACAUUUCUUGACCUUGCUAGUUCUUUCAUUAGAUCUGCGCAAGAUCUAGUCAUCUGGUUAAGGAUUUUAAGCAGAUGCAACUAUAAACCCAAGAAACUGUAUUACUAUUACUGUUGGUCAUACUAAACCUGUCUAUUUCCUGAAGUAUAUGACCCACAAGGAUGUGGAAUAACUAGGAGAAACUGUUUUUGUACACUGUACAUCCUUAGUAUUUUUACACGUAUAUGAUAGGGAUGAACAUGAUUUUCCUUCGUACAGACAGCUUAAAUAAAGCACUAUGUCAAUCUGCUACUUCUCUGUUUAUUGUUGUUGGAUGUGGUUCUAUAAUCCCCCCAAAUUAAAUCUUCUUUAAUGAAAACAUGAUUUUU
RNAcentral lists this long non-coding RNA (419 nucleotides) under Homo sapiens (human). RNAcentral describes it as "non-protein coding lnc-CEP170-10:2". The record is from RNAcentral. Lineage: Eukaryota; Metazoa; Chordata; Mammalia; Primates; Hominidae.